CCAUUUAUAACCUUUGCUUGUCCCUUAAGAGGAAAGCUGACAUAUUGCUACUUGGUGUCUUACAAAGGGUUUGAUUACAGUUUCUAAAAGGAAGACAGACUGCCCUAAGCUGACUUCUUUCUGGAGAAAUUCCAGGCUUUAGGCUGGUACAGAUAUCACAUCUAAUAGGAUGUGGCUAAGAAGCAGUGGACUUUGUGGUUAAUACAGAGCUGCAAAUCAGCAAAAGUGUGUUCCAUAGACAUAGAGAGUGGCAAAGUGAAAUGCAGGUGCCUUUUUGAAAGAUUAGCUUACAUCCUUUUGAAGUUCAUUACCAAGGGAAAUAUGCAAAUGUUAUAAUUUAAGCAUUUAUCCUCAUAGCACCUGUGAUUAAAUGUAAGUGGGAGGUAGCACUUCCAAAUAAAUCUUGGCCUGAUCCUUAGAGCCAGAAUCCCCAAAGUUCAGGAUCAGACCAUCUGAGAAGUGAGCUCUAGUUCUCCAUGCUUUGCUCUUUCUAAAAUAAAACGUAAGUUAUAUUUGAUUCUUUAAGCAAAGGUAUGAAGGCUGGCAUAUUUACACAGAAGAGCUGUAAUAAUAGUGUCAUUGGUGUCAAAUGGUCACACAGUCCCUCUUCCAUAGUGGGAUUCAUAGUUAUUUGCUGGCCAUUACCCUUAUCUAAAAAUCUCAGUGAUAUCAUUAGCUUACCUUGCUCUUUGAAUAAUGUAUAACAUUCAGUCAAUUGAAAAUUUAAAAAAAAUUUGCUCAGUUUAAUCUUCCCACAAAUGACUUACAUUCAGCCAGAGGAACAGGGUUGGGAGGAGGGGAUAGGAUCCUAUCCCAGAGAGCACAAUAGGUAGAAAAGAGGUUGAAUUUGAAGAAUAACAUUCUCCCCAAAGUGUACAUCACUCUAUGAAAAAAACUGUAUUUUGAAAUGAUAGCAUAAUAUCACGUUAUGACACAAUAUAAUAUAUAUUAUAUACACAAAGAAUUAUAUUAUUUUUUGCAUCAAUUUUGAAGAUAAUAUUAGAAGCCCUCUUGGUGGUAUAUUCAAGCUAUUUGAAUACAACAUUUAUAGUUUUUCUUUUUAUCAUGAGCUUCUGAAAUAAGAUCUGCCUUGUGUGAAACUCAGCAUGAAGCCAGGAUGUGUUAGUCCUAUCCCCUUGUCACUUAAUACCUGGCUGACACACCAACCCAACCCAUGAUUGAUGUGUGAGUGCUUGACACCUAGUAGUGCUGGCAUGACCUUCCGCCUAAAAAAAGACAGCUGUGUCUUCCCCUUCUGUUUGUUUCAGGAUUUUUGCAAUAAGAUCCCUUCCCCAAAUGGUUUCUGCUAUCCUUUUAAAAGUCACAUUCUCCUACAUGAGUUCUGUAUCUUCUGGGCUAGGUUUUGCUGUAUCAGCCCUUGCCUGACAAGGAAUAACAUGAACUAGCUUAUGUUUCACAAUCUUCUUCCAGCUACUGUGGUGACUGAGUUAGCUACCUUCUUGUUGCCAGUUCUGGCACCAGUACAGUGCUAGGUUCUGAAAUUGCACCAUACUCUUAUCGCCAUGCAAAUUGCAGUGUUUUGGUUCAGUUGGAAAAUCAAGGUUACAAUUUGCGUUUACAGGAUGAAAUUUCCCAGCAGUGUUUUGUGAUGGUCAUAGUGAUGUAAUUUGAUAUCUAUGUAAUAUCAACAACAACUAUUUUUUCCUCAGCUUUACUUUUUAGAAUGAAAAUGGUUUAGAGUUUUGUUAUACCUUUGUUUUUGGAAAGCACAGGGGCCACAUGGCCACAUGUGUCAGCUGUCAGUAUUUGCUUGACCUACACAAUAGAACAUUAAGAAGUUGUCAGGUUAGGAUGGGGGAACUGUUGACCAGGACGUCAGACUGGGAUUUCUUGUUUUUGUUUUUUUAAACAUUAUUUUUAAACUCUUGAACAAGUAGAGGCACUAUUUUAAUAUUCUAGGUAUAGAAGAAGUAGCUUUUAUAACAGAGCAGUGUUAGUUUUAAAUGAAAUAGAAGCCCUCUUUGUAAACACUGAAAACUAGACUCUGAAUGUAAAAGUAGGGAAAAGAAUGGACAUGUUUACUUGGUUUAUCAGAAGCCAUAAAACCCUUAGAGCAGAUUAAAACUUUUCCUCUUCUGUUUGUAGAUGGCUCUGAGAGAUUCCUCUGUGAAUCCGUUUUCAGUUAUCAGGUGGCAUCGACGCUUAAACAGGUGAAACAUGAUCAGCAAGUUGCUCGGAUGGAAAAACUAGCUAGUUUGGUAGAAGAGCUGGAGGCAGAUGAGUGGCGGUUUAAACCCAUCGAGCAGCUUUUGGGCUUCACACCCUCUUCAGGUUGACCUUGCCUGGAUGUUCACCUCUGGUGCACAAGUACAGGUCCAGCGAGAAACUUUUGUUACAGAUUACAUAGCCAUCCAGAGACUCACAGCUCCAUCCCCGAAUUGUUAUUUCACAUGCGUACUUGGUUUCUCUGUAUCUAUCCACAAGCAACAAAAACUUAAAUGUGUGAUCUUGCAGGGAGAAUUUUUGUUUGUUUUAAAAAGUAUUGAGAAUCAUAUUUAGACAAUCAGUGUCAGAGAACCAAGAGGUUUGGGUUUAAGAGAGAUUUAUAAAACUUCACAAGCCAGGACACAUCCCCGAAUUGGCCAACUGAAUGGCAUCCCUCCUGUCAUUUUGUGCAGUUCCUAGAAUCCUCCACCCCUCAAGUCCAAGGUCAAGAACUGGAGUUAGAAAAUACAGCAUUUCUAAAAAAAAAGAAAAGAAAAGAAAAGAAAAUACAGCAUUUCUGACCUAAAACAGUUCUUUCUGCAAAUGAAUGUGGUUUCAACUCAGGACCUGUCCAAAUUAGGAAUUUUUAAAUGUUGGGGUUUUUUUUCUAUUUUUAAACAUCUAAUUCUAUAGAUUCUAACUUUUUCUAACCUCUUCUAGGCAUGCCAGAUGCUGGCAAAAAGAACUGCUUUUUAAAUGUUGAAGCACUUGUAAAAAUAAAGCAGUGAGCAAAAUCCUUUUAAACAUAGAAAUCCUGAGUUCAUCGUGUUGGUGGGCUCAGGCAAUUCCGUAGCAAAUAAAUCCUUUGAAAGAGCUCCACAUUGGUUUCUUUAUCCCUUCAAAGCCUCAGGGAUUUGGGAUGGGGGAAGAGGUCAAAUUGCUUUUUCUAAGAAGGGAAUCUAAAAACCAUUUCUCCUGAGCAAAUGGCAGGUUGGCUUUAUCUCAGGGAUAUUUGUCUUUUCAGAAGUAUGUGAAUUUAUCUUAUCAAUAUGUGAGUAGGCUUUUUUUACCAUAAUAAGGAAAAUCUUAGAAAGUUAAGAGGUGUCCUUUGUUUUUCCUCAUGGGACCCUGCCAGGGCCCACACUGCAUAGUUAAGAGAAGCAUUUAUUAGAUUGUAUGCAAGUUUUGCCUCAGACAGCAUUUUCCUUUCUCCUCAUUAAAACUUGUACCUGAGUUGCUUAAUUGUGGAUAAAUAUAAUCGCAGUAGCAACUGGACUUAAUCUCAGGAGUAGGGAAUGUUUUAACACAUACUACGUGACAGGGAGGUGGUGACCUCCUUGAGUCGAUAAAGAAUCUGAGCACACAAAAGUUAAAGACCUGCCCAUGGUCACAUAGCCCAGAAAGAAGAAAAUUUUGGAACUUGGAAUAGACUGCAGAUGAUUGACAAUUCAGCCCAGUAUCUUGUCUCUAAAGCACAUCAGAGCACAAAAAUUAGCCUUCAAACUCACCUAUUUCCAUAUUAAUACUUCUUAAACUAGUUCCACAUUUGAAAGCCAUUGGGUUUCCUAAUAUUGUCCUUUUUGGCAUUAACCAUCUUGUUGAUUACCAAAGGAAAAAUUUUAAAUACCUAGUCUGCAAUAAACCUCUAAAUCAUAUUUUCAGUGACAGUUCAGAAGCAGUCACUAACUUUCAUUUGACUUAUUUAUGUAACAGUACAGCAUAGACACCGUAUCACUUCGUCUUUACCCUUUGAUAUUUGAACUUAUCACAGAAUAUUUUUCUCUUGAAACUGGACCUUUUUUUUUUUUUUCUUUUUAAGGCCGCACCUGUAGCAUAUGGAAAUUCCUGGGCUAGGGGUCAAAUCAGGACUGCAGGCCUACGCCACAGCCACAGCAGUGCCAGAUCUGAGCCACAUCUGUGACCUACACCAAAGCUUAUGGCAACACCCAAUCCUUAACCCACUGAGCAAGGCCAGGGAUUGAACCCUCAUCCUCAUGGAUAUUAGUCAGGUUCUUUUCCACUGAGCGACAACAGGAACUCCUGGACAUUUCUUUUUAGGUCCUUAGAAAUUGAAGUAAGCCUAGAGUUGAUCAGAAAAACUUUCUGAAGCACCUUUCCCUGUGAUCAUUCAGCCUCUACUUGAGCACGACCCUUAAAUAAAUAACAAGAACCUAUGUGUAGCAGAGGAAAAUCUGCUCGAUAGUUUGUAAUAACGUAAACGGAAAAAAGAAUGGAUAUAUGUACGACUGAUUCACUUUGCUGUACACCUGAAACUAAUACAACAUCUAGCUCAUCCCCCUGGUUGAUAGACAGGACGUCAAAACCUUGUUUUAUUCAUUGCUCUAUGUUCAGUACCUAGAACACUACCUGGCACAUAGUAGGUAUGCAACAGGUAUUUAUUGAGAAAAUAAAUUAUGAAUUUGCAUCUUUACACUGUUUUAGAAAGUGUGUUGUUAGCUAUUUACAGUGCAGCAUCCAUAGUGGAGAAAUGCCUACAGUAAUUGAAAUAGGUGGUGGGCAGAGCCAAGACAAUAACCCAAAUCUCAGCCCAGAGCGCUCCAUUAUGCUGCACUGACAGGUGGAGGUGAUGAAACAAAUAGAAACCGUGCCCAAAGCAGCCACGUCUCACAUGAUCCCCUCUGUGUGAGGAGCCAGGCUGAAUGAUGCUGGUGGCUUCCUGCCCUCCGCAUGGGCUCCUGCACAUGGGCCCCAUUGUAGCCUCACAUGUCAACAUCCACAAGCUGCUCUCCACCUCUCCAGAUACUUUAAUUCCUCUAGUCAGGUUUCCCCAGAGGAACUGUUUCUCCGGAAUCUGUUUACUUCAUUUUUAUAAUACAAGCUCUACGUAAUAAAA
RNAcentral lists this long non-coding RNA (5020 nucleotides) under Sus scrofa (pig). Its description in RNAcentral is "lncRNA (ENSSSCG00050078346.1)". The record is from RNAcentral. Lineage: Eukaryota; Metazoa; Chordata; Mammalia; Artiodactyla; Suidae.